GCAUAUCAGAAGGCACACCCGGAGAACUGAAACAUCUUAGUACCCGGAGGAAGAGAAAGAAAAUUCGAUUCCCUUAGUAGCGGCGAGCGAAACGGGAAGAGCCCAAACCAAAAAGCUUGCUUGUUGGGGUUGUAGGACACUCUAUACGGAGUUACAAAGGACGACAUUAGACGAAUCAUCUGGAAAGAUGAAUCAAAGAAGGUAAUAAUCCUGUAGUCGAAAAUGUUGUCUCUCUUGAGUGGAUCCUGAGUACGACGGAGCACGUGAAAUUCCGUCGGAAUCUGGGAGGACCAUCUCCUAAGGCUAAAUACUCUCUAGUGACCGAUAGUGAACCAGUACCGUGAGGGAAAGGUGAAAAGCACCCCGGAAGGAGAGUGAAAUAGAACCUGAAACCGUGUGCUUACAAGUAGUCAGAGCCCGUUAAUGGGUGAUGGCGUGCCUUUUGUAGAAUGAACCGGCGAGUUACGAUUUGAUGCAAGGUUAAGCAGUAAAUGUGGAGCCGUAGCGAAAGCGAGUCUGAAUAGGGCGUUUAGUAUUUGGUCGUAGACCCGAAACCAGGUGAUCUACCCUUGGUCAGGUUGAAGUUCAGGUAACACUGAAUGGAGGACCGAACCGACUUACGUUGAAAAGUGAGCGGAUGAACUGAGGGUAGCGGAGAAAUUCCAAUCGAACCUGGAGAUAGCUGGUUCUCUCCGAAAUAGCUUUAGGGCUAGCCUCAAGUGAUGAUUAUUGGAGGUAGAGCACUGUUUGGACGAGGGGCCCCUCUCGGGUUACCGAAUUCAGACAAACUCCGAAUGCCAAUUAAUUUAACUUGGGAGUCAGAACAUGGGUGAUAAGGUCCGUGUUCGAAAGGGAAACAGCCCAGACCACCAGCUAAGGUCCCAAAAUAUAUGUUAAGUGGAAAAGGAUGUGGCGUUGCCCAGACAACUAGGAUGUUGGCUUAGAAGCAGCCAUCAUUUAAAGAGUGCGUAAUAGCUCACUAGUCGAGUGACACUGCGCCGAAAAUGUACCGGGGCUAAACAUAUUACCGAAGCUGUGGAUUGUCCUUUGGACAAUGGUAGGAGAGCGUUCUAAGGGCGUUGAAGCAUGAUCGUAAGGACAUGUGGAGCGCUUAGAAGUGAGAAUGCCGGUGUGAGUAGCGAAAGACGGGUGAGAAUCCCGUCCACCGAUUGACUAAGGUUUCCAGAGGAAGGCUCGUCCGCUCUGGGUUAGUCGGGUCCUAAGCUGAGGCCGACAGGCGUAGGCGAUGGAUAACAGGUUGAUAUUCCUGUACCACCUAUAAUCGUUUUAAUCGAUGGGGGGACGCAGUAGGAUAGGCGAAGCG
Molecule: ribosomal RNA, 1324 nt
Filed under: Staphylococcus aureus
Lineage: Bacteria; Bacillati; Bacillota; Bacilli; Caryophanales; Staphylococcaceae
Description: partial 23S ribosomal RNA
Rfam family: Bacterial large subunit ribosomal RNA
Source: RNAcentral